Molecule: non-coding RNA, 28 nt
Filed under: Bombyx mori (domestic silkworm)
Lineage: Eukaryota; Metazoa; Arthropoda; Insecta; Lepidoptera; Bombycidae
Source: RNAcentral
UACAGGAGAAUCUCGACGUGGUCAAAGG